This 253-nucleotide ribosomal RNA is filed under the name uncultured bacterium. Its description in RNAcentral is "partial 16S ribosomal RNA". It matches the Rfam family "Bacterial small subunit ribosomal RNA", at positions 524 to 776 of the family's 1533-position model. The record is from RNAcentral.
UACGUAGGGAGCAAGCGUUGUCCGGAUUUACUGGGUGUAAAGGGUGCGUAGGUGGAUUGUUAAGUCAGUUGUGAAAGUUUGCGGCUCAACCGUAAAAUUGCAGUUGAAACUGGCAGUCUUGAGUACAGUAGAGGUGGGCGGAAUUCGUGGUGUAGCGGUGAAAUGCUUAGAUAUCACGAAGAACUCCGAUUGCGAAGGCAGCUCACUGGACUGCAACUGACACUGAGGCUCGAAAGUGUGGGUAUCAAACAGG